This 217-nucleotide unclassified non-coding RNA is filed under the name Vishniacozyma sp. RNAcentral describes it as "partial internal transcribed spacer region". The stretch from base 1 to 46 matches the Rfam family "Eukaryotic small subunit ribosomal RNA", at positions 1786 to 1831 of the family's 1831-position model. The record is from RNAcentral. Lineage: Eukaryota; Fungi; Basidiomycota; Tremellomycetes; Tremellales; Bulleribasidiaceae.
AAGUCAUAACAAGGUUUCCGUAGGUGAACCUGCGGAAGGAUCAUUAAUGAUGCCCUCGACGCCUUUACCGGCUGGUAGGGUUUGGACGGUCUCUUUAGGGAGCAGGCCUAAUCUCACACACCGUGAACUGUGGCUUCGGCCAUUUACACAAACUGUUAGUAAUGAAUGUCAUAUCAUAACAAACAUAAAACUUUUAACAACGGAUCUCUUGGCUCUC